Molecule: long non-coding RNA, 499 nt
Filed under: Gallus gallus (chicken)
Lineage: Eukaryota; Metazoa; Chordata; Aves; Galliformes; Phasianidae
Source: RNAcentral
CGUUCCAAAGUCAUUUUGUCCAUCAGUGUCUGAACUUGGACCAGUUCCUUUUUAAGAACAGCCACAUCUUCCACACCAGGCCUUUGUAGCAGCUCUGUCUUUAAGUCUUCUAUGGUACUUCUCUCCUUCAGUAGUUCCUGUGUUAGGUUUGUCAUUUUCUGUUCUGCACCUUCCCGAAGGCUGAUUUCUUCAUCAUACUUUGCUUUAAGAUCCACAAUUUCAGUAGCCAGUUGUGCUGCUUUUUGUUCAAAUAAGUCUUUCAUUUGCUUAAUAUUAAAAUUUUCUACUUGGAUCUCUUCUAGUUGCCGUUCUAAAGAUUCUGUAGAUGUAGAUGUUGUCAAUCCAUCAGACUUAGAAUCUUGCUGCCGCUGCCCCUGCAAUUUCUCUAGUUCUUUCUUCAGCUCUUCUGAAUACCAUCUCUCCUCCUUCAGCGAAGCUUGCAAGUCUUGUACUUCUUGUCGGAGCAGUGAUACUUCAUCUCUUUCUGGUGACAGAUGAC